Molecule: transfer RNA, 74 nt
Filed under: Bacillus cereus
Lineage: Bacteria; Bacillati; Bacillota; Bacilli; Caryophanales; Bacillaceae
Also listed under: 4 other names
Description: tRNA-Ile
Rfam family: tRNA
About the family: Transfer RNA (tRNA) molecules are approximately 80 nucleotides in length. Their secondary structure includes four short double-helical elements and three loops (D, anti-codon, and T loops).
Source: RNAcentral
GGACCUUUAGCUCAGUUGGUUAGAGCAGACGGCUCAUAACCGUCCCGUCGUAGGUUCAAGUCCUACAAGGUCCA